Molecule: ribosomal RNA, 274 nt
Filed under: uncultured bacterium
Lineage: Bacteria
Description: partial 16S ribosomal RNA
Rfam family: Bacterial small subunit ribosomal RNA
Source: RNAcentral
AUACGGAGGGUCCGAGCGUUAAUCGGAAUUACUGGGCGUAAAGCGCGCGUAGGUGGAUGUAUAAGUCAGAUGUGAAAGCCCUGUGCUCAACCUAGGAACUGCAUUUGAAACUGUACGUCUAGAGUAUGGUAGAGGUGAGUGGAAUUUCAGGUGUAGCGGUGAAAUGCGUAGAGAUCUGAAGGAACAUCAGUGGCGAAGGCGACUCACUGGGCCAUUACUGACACUGAGGUGCGAAAGCGUGGGUAGCAAACAGGAUUAGAAACCCUUGUAGUCC